RNAcentral lists this small RNA (3584 nucleotides) under Pongo abelii (Sumatran orangutan). RNAcentral describes it as "retained intron". Lineage: Eukaryota; Metazoa; Chordata; Mammalia; Primates; Hominidae. The record is from RNAcentral.
UUUGGUGUUGGAUGAUUUUCAGAGCGGUGAACCAAUGGUCUCUGAGGGGCCUCCCCUGCUGGUCCCAGGGUUAUGGGGCUCAGCUCUGUCGUCAGCCUACCUUGUGACCCAGAUUCAGCUGGGCUUUCCAGAUGGUCCUUUUCCAUCAGUCAUGACUUUGACUUCCACCAGUAACUGGUCUUCAUGUGGCUGCAUCCUGCUCCCAUUGGCGACUCUGCUGAGUGACCCACAUUAGCUGUGGUCAUUGGUUCAGUCCUCUCUGUGAUGUUCAGUGCAUGACCAGAUGUGAGAUAAACUGAAUAGAUUGGAUGCUAUGUCACUUAUUGUCAUAAUUCUGACUUUUCAACUGUUCUUGAUAUUACAGUGGACUAAAGAGGAUGGACAUAGAACUUCCACCUCUGCUGUCCCUAACCUGUUUGUUCCAUUGAACACUAACCCAAAAGAGGUCCAGGAGAUGAGGAACAAGAUCCGAGAGCAGAACUUACAGGACAUUAAGACGGCUGGCCCUCAGUCCCAGGUUUUGUGUGGUGUAGUGAUGGACAGGAGCCUCGUCCAGGUGAGAGCCCAGAGUGUCUCUGACAUUAGUGGGUGGUGGCUGUGUGACCGCCUGCUCCAAAGUUAUUCUGAAAUUGAGAGAGUGACUUUAUGAGGUAAGUAUUCUAGGCAACCAGUUACCUUUGUUAAAACCUUCAUGAUGAGAAACAGUUCAGGCACUUUUCCUUGAGUUCUAGAUGGAGCGAGCAUGCUGAGGGCUAUGUCCACCCCUCUGGUCCCGCCCCUUGUAAUGCAUGCAUAUGUGAGGGUGGCACAUACACCAUCAGCUUUGGGGCUCAGAUUCGGCAAGGGUUCAGCAGCGUUCUGUGUAAGGCGCUAGGAGAGGGUGGGUUUAGGGACUCUUGUUCUGGUACAUAUUGCUGUCUGCAACAAAGUGCUGCUUGGGUUGCAGAGGGGUGGGUGCCUGUAAAUGUGGUACACAUUUACACACAUUUCUACAAAAUGACUCUACCUUGUGGCACAUUGAAGAUAAUUGUGUAAGUAGUUAUCUCUGAAAACUAAUAUGCCACCUAAUGCUUUAACACCUGACUCUGCAGGGGUAGACGAUUGUUGGAUUUGUCCAGCCGUGGUCCUGGUUUCGUGUUCAGUGUCUGCACGUCCUGCCAUCAUCACUGCCACACUUACUGUUGACAGCUGUCCCUGCUGCAUGCUCUUAGCCAGCUCCAUCCUGUGCUCUCAGCUGAUAUUUCACAGGCUGGGCCUGGUGUGCUUUGGUGACUCAGUUUACUGUUUCAGGAUGCACCUCUCUCUGACUGUACGGAAACUAUCGAAGGGCUCGAGCUUACAGAGCAGACCUUUAGUCCCGCUAAAUCUCUCUCUUUUAGAAAGGGAGAGCUGGUGACGGCCUCCAAGGCCAUCAUUGAGAAGGAGUACCAGCCCCACGUCAUUGUGAGCACCACGGGCCCCAACCCCUUCACCACACUCACAGACCGUGAGCUGGAGGAGUACCGCAGGGAGGUGGAGAGGAAGCAGAAGGGCUCUGAAGAGAAUCUGGACGAGGCUAGAGAACAGAAAGAAAAGAGUCCUCCAGACCAGCCUGCGGUCCCCUACCCGCCUCCCAGCACUCCCAUCAAGCUGGAGGAAGGAGACGGAUGCGCUAGAGAGUACCUGUUACCCUAACCUUGUGCCGGAGCCAACUACUGGAGAUGACAGUGAUGCCGCCACCUUUAAGCCAACUCUUCCCGAUCUGUCCCCUGAUGAACCUUCAGAAGCACUCGGCUUCCCAAUGUUAGAGAAGGAGGAGGAAGCCCAUAGACCCCCAAGCCCCACUGAGGCCCCUACUGAGGCCAGCCCCGAACCAGCCCCAGACCCAGCCCCGGUGGCUGAAGAGGCUGCCCCCUCAGCUGCCGAGGAGGGGGCCGCCGCGGACCCUGGCAGCGAUGGGUCUCCAGGCAAGUCCCCAUCCAAAAAGAAGAAGAAGUUCCGUACCCCGUCCUUUUUGAAGAAGAGCAAGAAGAAGAGUGAGUCCUGAAGGCCCUGCGCUAACACUGUCCUGUCCGGAGCGACCCUGGCUCUGCCAGUGUCCCCGGCCACGUCUGUGCCCUGUCCUAGUGUAAUGGAAUGCAAAAAAGCCAAGCCCUCCACCUAGAGGUCCCCUCACGUGACCAGCCCCGUGUAGCCCCGGGCUGACCCAGUGCGUGCUCAGCAGCCCCACCCCACCCUGCCCCUUGUCCUCUCAGAGCCUCAGCUUCUGGGGGAGACAUGCUCUCCCCACAGGUGGGAGGCACUAAGUCAUGGUCCUGGCUGGAAGGUACUGAAGGCUUCUGCAGCUUUGGCUGCACGUCACCCUCCUGAGCCUUGACCUUUCCUGCCGUCCCUCCUGUUGUGAAAUCGCCAUGUUCUGUCCCUGCUUGGCUUCCCCUCUACCCUAAAGUCUCAGGUGACGGACUCAGACUCCUGGCUUCACGUGGCGUUCUCUCUGCUCAGUGAUCUCACUUAAAUCUAUAUACAAAGCCUUGGUCCCGUGAAAACACUCGUGUGCCCACCAGCGGCCUUGAAGAGGCAGGUCUGGGCCAGAUGCUGGUCAGGAAACCCCAGCGACAGAUGGGCCUGUGUGCACCCAACGCGAUGCUAUGCAUGUCUGACCGACGAUCCCUCGACCAGAAUCAGAUUCAGGAGCUCAGUUUCUUUUUCACUUGGGUCUCUGGAUUCCUGUCAUAGGGAAGGUGUAUCAGGAGGGGAAGAGUCCUUUCUAGAAUUUUCUUUGAGCAGGUUUACAAUUUAGCUUACAUUUUUUGACUGUGAACGUGAAUAGGCUGCUUUUUGCUUUUUUCUUUCCAGACCCCACAGUAGAGCACUUUUCACUUAUUUGGGGGAGGUUUCAGGGGAUCUGUUCUCACCUUAACUCAGCCGGAAAGAUACCCUAGUUGUGAUAAAAGGUAACUCGAGGUGGAGGGUAGCCCUGGGGCCCCUCGACAUCGCCGUCAUUGAUGGAGCCUGAGACAUGUGCUCCGUGGCAGAUACUGUUGUUUUUACUUCCCUGCGAGGCUGGAAAAGGGCUCAGAGCUGCUGAGCAGGAACUGGAGGGUGAUGCAUUUCAGGAGCUGCCGGUACCAGCCUGACUAGGUGCAGGCAAGCUUGUGUGGGCCCAACAGGCCCCUGGUAGAGCUGGUGCCAGAUGUGGGCUCAGAUCCUGGGCACGAUGGGCCGAGCCACCUCAGAUCCCACUGAUUGGCCGGCAGAGCGAGAACCAGGCUGCUGCAUGGCACUGACUGCUGCUUCCAGCUUCCUCUGAGCCGCAGGGCCUGCUACGCGGGCGAGCGUGCUGCCUCUUUGUCGUUUUGUUGCCAAGGCAGAAUGAAAAGUCCUUAACCGCGGACUCUUCCUUUAUCCCCUUUUAUCCCUUCCUUUACCCCACAUAUGCAAUGACUUUUAAUUUUCACUUUUGUAGUUUAAUCCUUUGUAUUACAACAUGAAAUAUAGUUGCAUAUAUGGACACCGACUUGGGAGGACAGGUCCUGAAUGUCCUUUCUCCAGUGUAACAUGUUUUACUCACAAAUAAAAUUCUUUCAGCAAUUUCCUUGUCUAAA